This 497-nucleotide ribosomal RNA is filed under the name uncultured bacterium. Its description in RNAcentral is "partial 16S ribosomal RNA". It matches the Rfam family "Bacterial small subunit ribosomal RNA", at positions 28 to 507 of the family's 1533-position model. The record is from RNAcentral.
GAUGAACGCUGGCGGCGUGCCUAAUACAUGCAAGUCGAGCGAACGGACGAGAAGCUUGCUUCUCUGAUGUUAGCGGCGGACGGGUGAGUAACACGUGGAUAACCUACCUAUAAGACUGGGAUAACUUCGGGAAACCGGAGCUAAUACCGGAUGAUAUUUUGAACCGCAUGGUUCAAAAGUGAAAGACGGUCUUGCUGUCACUUAUAGAUGGAUCCGCGCUGCAUUAGCUAGUUGGUAAGGUAACGGCUUACCAAGGCAACGAUGCAUAGCCGACCUGAGAGGGUGAUCGGCCACACUGGAGCUGGGACACGGUCCAGACUCCUACGGGAGGCAGCAGUAGGGAAUCUUCCGCAAUGGGCGAAAGCCUGACGGAGCAAGGCCGAGUGAGUGAUAGAGGUCUUCGGAGCGUAAAACUCUGUUAUUAGGGAAGAACAUAUGUGUAAGUAACUGUGCAGAUCUUGACGGUACCUAAUCAGAAAGCCACGGCUAACUACGUG